This 440-nucleotide ribosomal RNA is filed under the name uncultured bacterium. RNAcentral describes it as "partial 16S ribosomal RNA". It matches the Rfam family "Bacterial small subunit ribosomal RNA", at positions 338 to 795 of the family's 1533-position model. The record is from RNAcentral.
CCUACGGGGGGCAGCAGUGGGGAAUAUUGCACAAUGGGGGAAACCCUGAUGCAGCGACGCCGCGUGAGUGAAGAAGUAAUUCGUUAUGUAAAGCUCUAUCAGCAGGGAAGAAAAUGACGGUACCUGAGUAAGAAGCCCCGGCUAACUACGUGCCAGCAGCCGCGGUAAGACGUAGGGGGCAAGCGUUAUCCGGAUUUACUGGGUGUAAAGGGAGCGUAGACGGCAGUGCAAGUCUGGAGUGAAAGGCGGGGGCUCAACCCCCGGACUGCUCUGGAUACUGUACGGCUGGAGUGCAGGAGAGGUAAGUGGAAUGCCUAGUGUAGCGGUGAAAUGCGUAGAUAUUAGGAGGAACACCAGUGGCGAAGGCGGCUUACUGGACUGUAACUGACGUUGAGGCUCGAAAGCGUGGGGAGCAAACAGGAUUAGAUACCCGUGUAGUC